GGUUAACGCUGGCGGCGUGCCUAACACAUGCAAGUCGAACGGUUCUAAGCGCGAGGCUUAGGAUAGUGGCGAACGGGUGAGUAAAAGGUAGGAAUCUACCCCUUGGACGGAGAUAGCUACUGGAAACGGUAGGUAAACUUCGAUAAGCCCGAGAGGGGAAAGUGGUGAGACAGCCGAGGGAUGAGCCUACUCUCCAUCAGGUAGUUGGUGAGAUAAAAGCUUACCAAGCCGAUGACGGAUAACCGGUGUGAGAGCAUGAAACGGUCACAAGGGCACUGAGAGACGGGCCCUACUCCUACGGGAGGCAGCAGUGGGGAAUCUUGGACAAUGGGCGAAAGCCUGAUCCAGCGACGCCGCGUGGAGGAAGAAGUCCUUCGGGAUGUAAACUUCUGAACUAGCCGAAUAAAAGGCCUGUGGACACACAGGAGAAGAAAGUAGGCUAGGAAAAGUCCCGGCUAACUACGUG
Molecule: ribosomal RNA, 466 nt
Filed under: uncultured bacterium
Lineage: Bacteria
Description: bacterial SSU rRNA
Rfam family: Bacterial small subunit ribosomal RNA
Source: RNAcentral